AUUGAACGCUGGCGGAAUGCUUUACACAUGCAAGUCGAACGGCAGCACGGACUUCGGUCUGGUGGCGAGUGGCGAACGGGUGAGUAAUGUAUCGGAACGUGCCCAGUCGUGGGGGAUAACGUAGUGAAAAUUACGCUAAUACCGCAUACGAUCUAUGGAUGAAAGCGGGGGAUCGCAAGACCUCGCGGGAUUGGAGCGGCCGAUAUCAUAUUAGGUAGGUGGUGGGGUAAAGGACCACCAAGCCAACGAUCUGUAGCUGGUCUGAGAGGACGACCAGCCACACUGGAACUGAGACACGGUCCAGACUCCUACGGGAGGCAGCAGUGGGGAAUUUUGGACAAUGGGCGAAAGCCUGAUCCAGCCAUUCCGCGUGCAGGAUGAAGGCCCUCGGGUUGUAAACUGCUUUUGUACAGAACGAAAAGGUUUCUACUAAUACUAGGAGCUCAUGACGGUACUGUAAGAAUAAGCACCGGCUAACUACGUGCCAGCCGCCGCAGUAA
Molecule: ribosomal RNA, 500 nt
Filed under: uncultured bacterium
Lineage: Bacteria
Description: partial 16S ribosomal RNA
Rfam family: Bacterial small subunit ribosomal RNA
Source: RNAcentral